This 1563-nucleotide ribosomal RNA is filed under the name Pseudomonadota bacterium. Its description in RNAcentral is "16S ribosomal RNA". It matches the Rfam family "Bacterial small subunit ribosomal RNA". Lineage: Bacteria; Pseudomonadati; Pseudomonadota. The record is from RNAcentral. RNAcentral also lists the same sequence under 1 other name.
UGUACGGAGAGUUUGAUCCUGGCUCAGGGCGAACGCUGGCGGCGUGCCUAAAACAUGCAAGUCGAGCGGGGGUUGGCCGCGGGGCAACCCGCGGUUUCAGCUCUAGCGGCGAACGGGUGAGUAACACGUGGGUAACCUACCCCGAAGACGGGGAUAACCCCGGGAAACCGGGGCUAAUACCCGAUGCCCUUCCCUGGGGGGCAUCCCUGGGGGAGGAAAGGGUUGGGCGCAAGCCCUUCCGCUUCGGGAUGGGCCCGCGGCCUAUCAGCUGGUUGGUGGGGUAACGGCCCACCAAGGCGAUGACGGGUAGCUGGCCUGAGAGGGUGGCCAGCCACACUGGCACUGAGACACGGGCCAGACUCCUACGGGAGGCAGCAGUUGGGAAUCUUGGGCAAUGGGCGCAAGCCUGACCCAGCGACGCCGCGUGGGGGAUGAAGGCCUUCGGGUCGUAAACCCCUGUCAGGAGGGACGAAGCUCACCCUUCGGGGUGGGUGACGGUACCUCCAGAGGAAGCCCCGGCUAACUACGUGCCAGCAGCCGCGGUAAGACGUAGGGGGCGAGCGUUGCCCGGAUUUACUGGGCGUAAAGCGGGUGUAGGCGGCUGGGUAAGUCCCGUGUGAAAGCCCACGGCUCAACCGUGGGAGGUCGCGGGAAACUGCUCGGCUUGAGGGCAGCAGAGGGUGGUGGAAUUCCCGGUGUAGCGGUGAAAUGCGUAGAGAUCGGGAGGAACGCCAGUGGCGAAGGCGGCCACCUGGGCUGUCCCUGACGCUGAGACCCGAAAGCUAGGGGAGCGAACGGGAUUAGAUACCCCGGUAGUCCUAGCCGUAAACGAUGCUCACUAGGUGUCGGGGGGUUAUUCCCUCGGUGCCGAAGCUAACGCAUUAAGUGAGCCGCCUGGGGACUACGGCCGCAAGGCUAAAACUCAAAGGAAUUGACGGGGACCCGCACAAGCGGUGGAGCAUGUGGUUUAAUUCGAUGCAAAGCGAAGAACCUUACCAGGCCUUGACAUGCCGGAAGUACCGAACCGAAAGGGGAGGGACCCGUAAAGUCGGGAGCCGGCACAGGUGGUGCAUGGCUGUCGUCAGCUCGUGCCGUGAGGUGUUGGGUUAAGUCCCGCAACGAGCGCAACCCCCGUCCCUAGUUGCCACCGGGUCAUGCCGGGCACUCUAGGGAGACUGCCGGCGAUGAGCCGGAGGAAGGUGGGGAUGACGUCAAGUCAUCAUGCCCCUGAUGGCCUGGGCUACACACAUGCUACAAUGGCCGGGACAAUGGGCUGCGAACCCGCGAGGGGGAGCGAAUCCCAAAAACCCGGUCUCAGUUCGGAUCGCAGGCUGCAACUCGCCUGCGUGAAGCCGGAAUCGCUAGUAACCGCCGAUCAGCAUUGCGGCGGUGAAUACGUUCCCGGGUCUUGUACACACCGCCCGUCACGUCAUGGGAGCCGGCUCUACCCGAAGCCGGUGGCCUAACCCGCAAGGGAGGGAGCCGUCGAAGGUGGGGUCGGUGACUGGGACGAAGUCGUAACAAGGUAGCCGUACGGGAACGUGCGGCUGGAUCACCUCCUUU